UCAAAGGGAUUAUUAAGUAGCUAGUGGUUGCAUAAUUACGGGGGUAAUGAUGAGACACUGCCGGGAAUUUGGGAUUGGUGUACCCUGUUUACCAUUCUACACUGAAGAAAAGAAGAAGAAAGAUGGACAACUGUUUGCAUUGCAAAACUACUGUACGUCCCCGACAAGAGGCCAUUCAGUGUGAUACAUGUAAUUUAUGGCAGCACAGAACAUGCAACACUGGGAUCAGCAGAGACCAGUAUCGUCGAUUGGUGAAGAACUCGGAUGAGCUGGAGUGGAAUUGCAGCCAAUGCUCCAUGGUAUAAACAUAAUUUGAUUUCAAC
This is a long non-coding RNA of Saccostrea cuccullata (small rock oyster), 323 nucleotides long. RefSeq lists it as uncharacterized. The record is from RefSeq and is a predicted model, not a curated record. The transcript has 3 exons. NCBI's taxonomy places the organism in Eukaryota, Metazoa, Mollusca, Bivalvia, Ostreida, Ostreidae.